UGAAGGAAAACGGAACGGUGCU
RNAcentral lists this non-coding RNA (22 nucleotides) under Mus musculus (house mouse). Lineage: Eukaryota; Metazoa; Chordata; Mammalia; Rodentia; Muridae. The record is from RNAcentral.